AAAGCGAAACCGCGAAUGGCUCAUUAAAUCAGUUAUGGUUCCUUAGAUCGUUUCUCAUACAUGGAUAACUGCUGGUAAUUCUAGAGCUAAUACAUGCAAUCAGCUCCGUUCGCAAGAGUGGGGCGCUUUUAUUAGUUCAAAACCAAUCGGCGCCUUUCGAGGCGCCGACGUUGUGAUGACUCUGGAUAACUUAGCGGAUCGCAGGGCCCUGUGCCGGCGACGUAUCUUUCAAAUGUCUGCCCUAUCAACUGUCGAUGGUACGUGCUAUGCCUACCAUGGUUGUAACGGGUAACGGGGAAUCAGGGUUCGAUUCCGGAGAGGGAGCAUGAGACACGGCUACCACAUCCAAGGAAGGCAGCAGGCGCGCAAAUUACCCACUCCCGGAACGGGGAGGUAGUGACGAGAAAUAACGAUACGGAACUCUUUCGAGGCUCCGUAAUUGGAAUGAGUACACUUCAAACACUUUAACGAGGAUCAAUUGGAGGGCAAGUCUGGUGCCAGCAGCCGGGGUAAUUCCAGCUCCAAUAGCGUAUACUAAAGUUGCUGC
RNAcentral lists this ribosomal RNA (547 nucleotides) under Paraturbanella sp. 214385716. Its description in RNAcentral is "SSU rRNA". It matches the Rfam family "Eukaryotic small subunit ribosomal RNA", at positions 78 to 616 of the family's 1831-position model. Lineage: Eukaryota; Metazoa; Gastrotricha; Macrodasyida; Turbanellidae. The record is from RNAcentral.